GGGGUUGACUGGUUUUGACAGCGUGUCGAAGUGGUGUGUAAGCAUGCAGAGAAAUGAUGCCCGCUCUCUUUAAACAGAGACAUCUGCAAUUUUAAAUGGCGAAAACAACUACGCUCUUGCUGCUUGAUUGAAGUACAGUAGAUCAGCUUAAUCUCCGCGACAGUCGCAGAGACAAGACAUCACCCGAUUGUUAACGUUCCGAGACUAAUCGACACGGUGGUGCAGGUAAAUCGGAAAUAGGAUGCAAGCAGCCUCGGCGAGCAUCCGAAACUUUAGGGGCUAAGGCAUCGGUUGGCUGUCGCUUGCCUGCCGUUGCACGAAAACCAACAAGUGAAUAAGCAUGUAGAAAGCACAUUAGUUCCGCGUUUGGACGAGGGUUCGAAUCCCUCCAGCUCCACC
This 399-nucleotide transfer-messenger RNA is filed under the name human gut metagenome. It matches the Rfam family "transfer-messenger RNA". From Rfam's summary of the family: Bacterial tmRNA, also known as 10Sa RNA or SsrA, is named for its dual tRNA and mRNA-like properties. Its role is to liberate the mRNA from a stalled ribosome. The record is from RNAcentral.